AGUGGCGGACGGGUGAGUAACGCGUGGGCAACCUGCCCUGCACUGGGGGAUAGCCGGUUGGAAACGACCGGUAAUACCGCAUACCUUACAUUUGCCGACAUGACAGAUGUAAGAAAAGUGAUUUAGUGGUGCAGGAUGGGCCCGCGUCCGAUUAGCUAGUUGGUGGGGUAACGGCCUACCAAGGCGACGAUCGGUAGCCGACCUGAGAGGGCGGACGGCCACAUUGGGACUGAGACACGGCCCAGACUCCUACGGGAGGCAGCAGUGGGGAAUAUUGCACAAUGGGGGAAACCCUGAUGCAGCGAACCGCCGCGUGAGUGAAGAAGUAUUUCGGUAUGUAAAGCUCUAUCAGCAGGGAAGAUAAUGACGGUACCUGACUAAGAAGCCCCGGCUAAAUAUGUGCCAGCAGCCGC
Molecule: ribosomal RNA, 413 nt
Filed under: uncultured bacterium
Lineage: Bacteria
Description: bacterial SSU rRNA
Rfam family: Bacterial small subunit ribosomal RNA
Source: RNAcentral